Molecule: ribosomal RNA, 382 nt
Filed under: uncultured Candidatus Cardinium sp.
Lineage: Bacteria; Pseudomonadati; Bacteroidota; Cytophagia; Cytophagales; Amoebophilaceae
Description: bacterial SSU rRNA
Rfam family: Bacterial small subunit ribosomal RNA
Source: RNAcentral
GUAGGGGUUCUUAGUGGAAGGUCCCCCACACUGGGCACUGGAGAUACGGGCCAGACUCCUACGGGAGGCAGCAGUAGGGAAUAUUGGUCAAUGGGCGCAAGCCUGAACCAGCCAUGCCGCGUGCAGGAUGAAGGCUCUCUGAGUUGUAAACUGCUUUUGUACAGGAGCAAAAAAAUCCCUGCGGGGGUUCUUGAGAGUACUGUAAGAAUAAGCACCGGCUAAUUCCGUGCCAGCAGCCGCGGUAAUACGGGAGGUGCAAGCGUUAUCCGGUUUUAUUGGGUUUAAAGGGUGCGUAGGCGGCUUAUUAAGUCAGUUGUGAAAUCCUAGUGCUUAACGCUAGAACUGCGAUUGAUACUAUUAGGCUUGAGUUAAGAAGAGGUAA